RNAcentral lists this ribosomal RNA (864 nucleotides) under Salmonella enterica. RNAcentral describes it as "partial 23S ribosomal RNA". It matches the Rfam family "Bacterial large subunit ribosomal RNA", at positions 2067 to 2925 of the family's 2925-position model. The record is from RNAcentral. Lineage: Bacteria; Pseudomonadati; Pseudomonadota; Gammaproteobacteria; Enterobacterales; Enterobacteriaceae.
UACCCGCGGCAAGACGGAAAGACCCCGUGAACCUUUACUAUAGCUUGACACUGAACAUUGAGCCUUGAUGUGUAGGAUAGGUGGGAGGCUUUGAAGCGUGGACGCCAGUCUGCGUGGAGCCGACCUUGAAAUACCACCCUUUAAUGUUUGAUGUUCUAACGUGGACCCGUAAUCCGGGUUGCGGACAGUGUCUGGUGGGUAGUUUGACUGGGGCGGUCUCCUCCUAAAGAGUAACGGAGGAGCACGAAGGUUGGCUAAUCCUGGUCGGACAUCAGGAGGUUAGUGCAAUGGCAUAAGCCAGCUUGACUGCGAGCGUGACGGCGCGAGCAGGUGCGAAAGCAGGUCAUAGUGAUCCGGUGGUUCUGAAUGGAAGGGCCAUCGCUCAACGGAUAAAAGGUACUCCGGGGAUAACAGGCUGAUACCGCCCAAGAGUUCAUAUCGACGGCGGUGUUUGGCACCUCGAUGUCGGCUCAUCACAUCCUGGGGCUGAAGUAGGUCCCAAGGGUAUGGCUGUUCGCCAUUUAAAGUGGUACGCGAGCUGGGUUUAGAACGUCGUGAGACAGUUCGGUCCCUAUCUGCCGUGGGCGCUGGAGAACUGAGGGGGGCUGCUCCUAGUACGAGAGGACCGGAGUGGACGCAUCACUGGUGUUCGGGUUGUCAUGCCAAUGGCACUGCCCGGUAGCUAAAUGCGGAAGAGAUAAGUGCUGAAAGCAUCUAAGCACGAAACUUGCCCCGAGAUGAGUUCUCCCUGAGACUUUAAGUCUCCUGAAGGAACGUUGAAGACGACGACGUUGAUAGGCCGGGUGUGUAAGCGCAGCGAUGCGUUGAGCUAACCGGUACUAAUGAACCGUGAGGCUUAACCUU